RNAcentral lists this ribosomal RNA (301 nucleotides) under uncultured bacterium. Its description in RNAcentral is "partial 16S ribosomal RNA". It matches the Rfam family "Bacterial small subunit ribosomal RNA", at positions 509 to 809 of the family's 1533-position model. The record is from RNAcentral.
CAGCAGCCGCGGUAAUACGUAGGUGGCAAGCGUUGUCCAGAAUUAUUGGGCGUAAAGGGCUCGCAGGCGGUUUCUUAAGUCUGAUGUGAAAGCCCCCGGCUCAACCGGGGAGGGUCAUUGGAAACUGGGAAACUUGAGUGCAGAAGAGGAGAGUGGAAUUCCACGUGUAGCGGUGAAAUACGUAGAGAUGUGGAGGAACACCAGUGGCGAAGGCGACUCUCUGGUCUGUAACUGACGCUGAGGCGCGAAAGCGUGGGGAGCGAACAGGAUUAGAGACCCCCGUAGUCCCUGUCUCUUAUAA